RNAcentral lists this ribosomal RNA (460 nucleotides) under uncultured bacterium. Its description in RNAcentral is "bacterial SSU rRNA". It matches the Rfam family "Bacterial small subunit ribosomal RNA", at positions 338 to 790 of the family's 1533-position model. The record is from RNAcentral.
CCUACGGGACGCACCAGUGGGGAAUAUUGCACAAUGGGCGCAAGCCUGAUGCAGCCAUGCCGCGUGUGUGAAGAAGGCCUUCGGGUUGUAAAGCACUUUCAGCGGGGAGGAAGGCGGUGAGGUUAAUAACCUCAUCGAUUGACGUUACCCGCAGAAGAAGCACCGGCUAACUCCGUGCCAGCAGCCGCGGUAAUACGGAGGGUGCAAGCGUUAAUCGGAAUUACUGGGCGUAAAGCGCACGCGGGCGGUCUGUCAAGUCGGAUGUGAAAUCCCCGGGCUCAACCUGGGAACUGCAUUCGAAACUGGCAGGCUAGAGUCUUGUAGAGGGGGGUAGAAUUCCAGGUGUAGCGGUGAAAUGCGUAGAGAUCUGGAGGAAUACCGGUGGCGAAGGCGGCCCCCUGGACAAAGACUGACGCUCAGGUGCGAAAGCGUGGGGAGCAAACAGGAUUAGAUACCCGAG